This 245-nucleotide long non-coding RNA is filed under the name Brassica napus (rape). RNAcentral describes it as "long non-coding RNA (BNAP_LNC024928)". Lineage: Eukaryota; Viridiplantae; Streptophyta; Magnoliopsida; Brassicales; Brassicaceae. The record is from RNAcentral.
GGGGGAGCAGAGGUGAGUUCCGGCGAGGAGCCAGGUCAGAUAUGAGCUGUUCUGGUGGUCGAGCAGCAAGGGGACCGUUGUGUAGAAACCAACGUGGUUGGUGGACCAGUGAAUUAUAUCAAAAGGGAAAAUUUGUUGAAGUUACAGGUGAGAAAGUACAGGAAAAGAAACUAGACUAGGCAAGUCAACUUUGAAACUAGCCAACAAACUAACGAGUAAGGACCGCUCUUGAAGAUAGUGACUGA